AUCCGCCUACGGGGGGCAGCAGUGAGGAAUAUUGGUCAAUGGACGAGAGUCUGAACCAGCCAAGUAGCGCGAAGGAUGACUGCCCUAUGAGUUGUAAACUUCUUUUAUAUGGGAAUAAAGUUUUCCACGUGUGGAAUUUUGUAUGUACCAUAUGAAUAAGGAUCGGCUAACCCCGUGCCAGCAGCCGCGGUAAUACGGAGGAUCCGAGCGUUAUCCGGAUUUAUUGGGUUUAAGGGGAGCGUAGGUGGAUUGUUAAGUCAGUUGUGAAAGUUUGCGGCUCAACCGUACAAUU
RNAcentral lists this ribosomal RNA (292 nucleotides) under uncultured bacterium. Its description in RNAcentral is "partial 16S ribosomal RNA". It matches the Rfam family "Bacterial small subunit ribosomal RNA", at positions 333 to 622 of the family's 1533-position model. The record is from RNAcentral.